GGGAAGAAAGACACAUGUGUUGCUAGGUUAUGAAAAGGGUGAUAAAUAUAGGAAAUCUAAACAUGAAUUAAAGGCCAUUGUAAUUGGCAUAAGAAUAUGUGAUUGUUUGUUUAUCAUGAAUUGGUUAGUAGGUGACUUUUAUGUUGGAAGAUUGAAAUCAAAUGAACUCAACAUAUGUCAAACUAUCUAAUUAUACCCACACAAAUUAUUUACAUUAUUUACUCAUAAAAGUUUAAUAUAACCACUUAAUUGCAUUGUUUGGACAAAGCAGACAUCCCCUAAUUAAUCAUACUUGUGAGUUAGUGCGACAAAUAGUUCCUUAUGGGUAUCCACCAUAUAUUCACAAAUUAUUG
This 353-nucleotide long non-coding RNA is filed under the name Vigna radiata. RNAcentral's name for it is "long non-coding RNA (VRAD_LNC002759)". Lineage: Eukaryota; Viridiplantae; Streptophyta; Magnoliopsida; Fabales; Fabaceae. The record is from RNAcentral.